RNAcentral lists this ribosomal RNA (448 nucleotides) under uncultured organism. RNAcentral's name for it is "partial 16S ribosomal RNA". It matches the Rfam family "Bacterial small subunit ribosomal RNA", at positions 332 to 797 of the family's 1533-position model. The record is from RNAcentral.
UACACUCCUGCGGGAGGCAGCAGUGGGGAAUAUUGGACAAUGGGCGCAAGCCUGAUCCAGCCAUACCGCGUGAGUGAUGAAGGCCCUAGGGUUGUAAAGCUCUUUCACCGGUGAAGAUAAUGACGGUAACCGGAGAAGAAGCCCCGGCUAACUUCGUGCCAGCAGCCGCGGUAAUACGAAGGGGGCUAGCGUUGUUCGGAUUUACUGGGCGUAAAGCGCACGUAGGCGGACUAUUAAGUCAGGGGUGAAAUCCCGGGGCUCAACCCCGGAACUGCCUUUGAUACUGGUAGUCUUGAGUUCGAGAGAGGUGAGUGGAAUUCCGAGUGUAGAGGUGAAAUUCGUAGAUAUUCGGAGGAACACCAGUGGCGAAGGCGGCUCACUGGCUCGAUACUGACGCUGAGGUGCGAAAGCGUGGGGAGCAAACAGGAUUAGAAACCCUAGUAGUCCC